Molecule: non-coding RNA, 30 nt
Filed under: Mus musculus (house mouse)
Lineage: Eukaryota; Metazoa; Chordata; Mammalia; Rodentia; Muridae
Source: RNAcentral
UAAGAAGCCAACCUCAAGGAAUCACUCGCC